CCUACGGGAGGCAGCAGUGAGGAAUAUUGGUCAAUGGCCGAGAGGCUGAACCAGCCAAGUCGCGUGAGGGAAGAAUGUCCUAUGGAUUGUAAACCUCUUUUGUCAGGGAGCAAAGUCACCCACGUGUGGGUGUUGGAGAGUACCUGAAGAAAACGCAUCGGCUAACUCCGUGCCAGCAGCCGCGGUAAUACGGGGGAUGCGAGCGUUAUCCGGAUUUAUUGGGGUUAAAGGGUGCGUAGGCGGGUUAUCAAGUCAGCGGUAAAAUCGUGGAGAUCAACUCCAUCCAGCCGUUGAAACUGAUGAUCUUGAGUGGGCGAGAAGUAUGCGGAAUGCGUGGGGUAGGGGUGAAAGGCAUAGAUAUCACGCAGAACUCCGAUCGCGAAGGCAGCCGACCGGCGCGCAACUGACGCUCAUGCACGAAAGCGUGGGUAUCGAACAGGAUUAGAUACCCUAGUAGUC
RNAcentral lists this ribosomal RNA (459 nucleotides) under uncultured bacterium. RNAcentral describes it as "partial 16S ribosomal RNA". It matches the Rfam family "Bacterial small subunit ribosomal RNA", at positions 338 to 795 of the family's 1533-position model. The record is from RNAcentral.